Molecule: long non-coding RNA, 213 nt
Organism: Rhagoletis pomonella (apple maggot)
Lineage: Eukaryota; Metazoa; Arthropoda; Insecta; Diptera; Tephritidae
Exons: 2
Source: RefSeq, a predicted model, not a curated record
CCAUUUAUUCGUUCAAAAUGUUUUCGAUAAAACUAUAAGCGAUUCGAUUGUAUUGCACUGGACGAACAUAAUCACAUAACUAAAUUUUAUCUAUUACAAAGAAUACUGACGCGUAAUACGGUGUGGUCAAAGUUUGCUUCAAAGUUUUAAAAAAUUCAAAUAUUAACGUCCGAGAUGCCGAAAGAUAUCAAGCGAAUACGCUUUCAAAAUAAC